This 726-nucleotide long non-coding RNA is filed under the name Rattus norvegicus (Norway rat). RNAcentral describes it as "long non-coding RNA NONRATT003138". The record is from RNAcentral. Lineage: Eukaryota; Metazoa; Chordata; Mammalia; Rodentia; Muridae.
UGACGUAAUUCAUCUUAAUGUUAGAUAUGGUAUGUAUCCCGCUGUCACUAGAGUUGAUGAUCCACUUCACUUUCACUUCUUCCCUUUUCCAGUCCUUGAAACCACAGGUGUGACACAUCUGGGUGGAUUUUAUACUUUGAAAUUUUUUCAUGAAUUUUUUUUUUUUGUGCUUGACUUUUAAAAAGAAAUCUUGUUUUUCUUCACUACGGGUAGGUAGUGUUUAUGGUUGUCAUCGUAAAAAAAUGGCAAAUUCUAGAAAAUUUUGCUUCGGAAGAUUGUGUCUUUCUGACAUGACAGUCUGAUCUAGACUAGGUUAACCUUAAACUUGUAAUCUUCACAUUGCAGUUGCCGGAUUUCAAAAACAUACCUUUAAACUACUGUGUAUAAUAUAAUUUAGUCUUUAGACUCUAGUAACAUGAUGUUUCAAAUAAUAUUUUGUUAGUGUUUUAAGGAAGGAUCUCAGUGUAACUCAGGCUAGUUUCAAAAUGCUGUCUCAUCUGACGUCUUGCUCUUGUGAUUAUUGCUAUAGCACAUUCUGAGUGGGAACAUGGGAUCGUUUACACUUGAGAAGAACUACUGAACAGCACGUGCCAGAGAUUGAGGUCCAGGUCAAACGUAGAAGGACAGCCUCACUGAGCAACCAAGAGUGUCACUUGUACCCAAGGCGUUCUCAGCAACAGCAAAUUCCUGUGGUGGAUUUCCAGGCAGAACUGAGACAGGCGUUCU